AACACGGAGAGUUUGAUCCUGGCUCAGGAUGAACGCUGGCGGUCUGCUUAACACAUGCAAGUCGAACGGACUCUUCGGAGUUAGUGGCGGACGGGUGAGUAACGCGUGAGAAUCUGCCUCUAGGACUGGGACAACAGAAGGAAACUUCUGCUAAUCCCGGAUGAGCCGCAAGGUGAAAGAUUUAUCGCCUAGAGAUGAGCUCGCGUCUGAUUAGCUAGUUGGUAAGGUAAAAGCUUACCAAGGCAACGAUCAGUAGCUGGUCUGAGAGGAUGAUCAGCCACACUGGGACUGAGACACGGCCCAGACUCCUACGGGAGGCAGCAGUGGGGAAUUUUCCGCAAUGGGCGCAAGCCUGACGGAGCAAGACCGCGUGGGGGAGGAAGGCUCUUGGGUUGUAAACCCCUUUUCUCAGGGAAGAACCAAAUGACGGUACCUGAGGAAUCAGCCUCGGCUAACUCCGUGCCAGCAGCCGCGGUAAUACGGAGGAGGCAAGCGUUAUCCGGAAUGAUUGGGCGUAAAGCGUUCGUAGGUGGCUAUUCAAGUCUGCUGUCAAAGACAGAAGCUCAACUUCUGAAAGGCAGUGGAAACUGAGUAGCUGGAGUGCGGUAGGGGCAGAGGGAAUUCCCGGUGUAGCGGUGAAAUGCGUAGAGAUCGGGAAGAACACCGGUGGCGAAAGCGCUCUGCUGGGCCGCAACUGACACUGAGGGACGAAAGCUAGGGGAGCGAAUGGGAUUAGAUACCCCAGUAGUCCUAGCUGUAAACGAUGGAAACUAGGUGUUGCCUGUAUCGACCCAGGCAGUGCCGUAGCUAACGCGUUAAGUUUCCCGCCUGGGGAGUACGCACGCAAGUGUGAAACUCAAAGGAAUUGACGGGGGCCCGCACAAGCGGNUGCAUGGCUGUCGUCAGCUCGUGUCGUGAGAUGUUGGGUUAAGUCCCGCAACGAGCGCAACCCUCGUUCUUAGUUGCCAUCAUUAAGUUGGGCACUCUAGGGAGACUGCCGGUGACAAACCGGAGGAAGGUGGGGAUGACGUCAAGUCAUCAUGCCCCUUACGUCCUGGGCUACACACGUACUACAAUGGGAAGGACAGAGGGCAGCCACUUCGCGAGGAGGAGCUAAUCCCGUAAACCUUUCCUCAGUUCAGAUUGCAGGCUGCAACUCGCCUGCAUGAAGGAGGAAUCGCUAGUAAUCGCAGGUCAGCAUACUGCGGUGAAUCCGUUCCCGGGCCUUGUACACACCGCCCGUCACACCAUGGAAGUUAGCCAUGCCCGAAGUCAUUACUCUAACCUUUCGAGGAGGAGGGUGCCGAAGGCAGGGCUGAUGACUGGGGUGAAGUCGUAACAAGGUAGCCGUANAGCUAACCCCAAUU
Molecule: ribosomal RNA, 1367 nt
Filed under: Limnoraphis robusta CS-951
Lineage: Bacteria; Bacillati; Cyanobacteriota; Cyanophyceae; Oscillatoriales; Sirenicapillariaceae
Description: Bacterial small subunit ribosomal RNA
Rfam family: Bacterial small subunit ribosomal RNA
Source: Rfam by way of RNAcentral